RNAcentral lists this ribosomal RNA (253 nucleotides) under uncultured bacterium. Its description in RNAcentral is "partial 16S ribosomal RNA". It matches the Rfam family "Bacterial small subunit ribosomal RNA", at positions 524 to 776 of the family's 1533-position model. The record is from RNAcentral.
UACGAGGGGGGCGAGCGUUGUUCGGAAUUAUUGGGCGUAAAGGGUGCGUAGGCGGUUUGGUAAGUCUUAUGUGAAAUCUAUGGGCUCAACUCAUAGUCUGCAUGAGAAACUGCCGGGCUUGAGUAUGGGAGAGGUGAGUGGAAUUCCUGGUGUAGCGGUGAAAUGCGUAGAUAUCAGGAGGAACACCUGUGGCGAAAGCGGCUCACUGGACCAUAACUGACGCCGAUGCACGAAAGCUAGGGGAGCAAACAGG